GUCACUAUAGCUCAGUGGUAGAGCACACGAUUGCAAUUACUUAAGCUCAAUGCUUAUGCGAUGAUAUCGUGUGGUCCCGUGUUCGAACCACGGUAGGGACU
Non-coding RNA from Leucogyrophana mollusca, 101 nucleotides. NCBI's taxonomy places the organism in Eukaryota, Fungi, Basidiomycota, Agaricomycetes, Boletales. The record is from the annotation of a GenBank genome assembly.